This 253-nucleotide ribosomal RNA is filed under the name uncultured bacterium. RNAcentral's name for it is "partial 16S ribosomal RNA". It matches the Rfam family "Bacterial small subunit ribosomal RNA", at positions 524 to 776 of the family's 1533-position model. The record is from RNAcentral.
UACGAAGGGGGCUAGCGUUGCUCGGAAUCACUGGGCUUAAAGGGUGCGUAGGCGGCUAUCUAAGCAGGGUGUGAAAGCCCCCGGCUCAACCGGGGAAUAGCGUUCUGAACUGGAUGGCUGGAGUGAGAUAGGGGUGUGUGGAACUUCCGGUGGAGCGGUGAAAUGUGUUGAUAUCGGAAGGAACGCCGGUGGCGAAAGCGACACACUGGGUCUCAACUGACGCUGAGGAGCGAAAGCGUGGGGAGCGAACAGG